RNAcentral lists this ribosomal RNA (429 nucleotides) under Bacteroidota bacterium. RNAcentral's name for it is "Bacteroidetes bacterium partial 16S ribosomal RNA". It matches the Rfam family "Bacterial small subunit ribosomal RNA", at positions 355 to 776 of the family's 1533-position model. The record is from RNAcentral. Lineage: Bacteria; Pseudomonadati; Bacteroidota.
UAGGGAAUCUUCCGCAAUGGACGCAAGUCUGACGGAGCAACGCCGCGUGAGUGAAGAAGGAUUUCGGUUCGUAAAACUCUGUUGUUAGAGAAGAACAGCGCAUAGAGUAACUGUUAUGCGUGUGACGGUAUCUAACCAGAAAGCCACGGCUAACUACGUGCCAGCAGCCGCGGUAAUACGUAGGUGGCAAGCGUUGUCCGGAUUUAUUGGGCGUAAAGCGAGCGCAGGCGGUCAAUUAAGUCUGAUGUGAAAGCCCGCGGCUCAACCGGGGAGGGUCAUUGGGAACUGGUUGGCUUGAGUGCAGAAGAGGAGAGUGGAACUCCAGGUGUAGCGGUGAAAUGCGUAGAUAUAUAGAGGAACACCAGUGGCGAAGGCGACUCUCUGGUAUGUAACUGACGCUGAGGCUCGAAAGCGGGGGUAGCAAACAGG